RNAcentral lists this ribosomal RNA (630 nucleotides) under Triticum aestivum (bread wheat). Its description in RNAcentral is "partial small subunit ribosomal RNA". The record is from RNAcentral. Lineage: Eukaryota; Viridiplantae; Streptophyta; Magnoliopsida; Poales; Poaceae.
AUGUUGUUUGCAUUGGUGUCUGCGUUGAGCAUGAACAUGAUUAGAUCAUGUUUGUUGCAAUACGGUUAUUCAUUUAAGUCAGAGAAUAAUGGUAAUUCUGUUUACAUGAAUAAUACCUUCUAUGGUCAUACACCCAAUGUGAAUGGUUUAUUGAAUCUCGGUCGUAGUGAUACACAUGUUCAUAACAUUGAUGCCAAAAGAUAUAGAGUUGAUAAUGAUAGUACCACUUUCUUGUGGCACUGCCGCUUAGGUCAUAUUAGUGUAAAGCGCAUGAAGAACCUCCAUGCUAAUGGACUUUUGGAGUCACUUGAUUUUGAAUCACCUGACACAUGCGAACCAUGCCUCAUAGGCAAGAUGACUAAAACCCCGUUUACUGGAACAAUGGAACAUGCAAGUGACUUGUUGGAAAUCACACAUGCUGAUGUGUGCGGUCCGAUGAGUGUUGACGCACGCGGUGGAUAUCGUUAUUUUCUCACCUUCACCGAUGAAUUUAGUAGAUAUGGGUAUAUUUACUUAAUGAAGCAUAAGUCUGAAACAUUUGAAAAGUUCAAGCAAUUUCAGAGUGAAAUUGAGAAUCAUCAUAACAAGAAGAUCAAGUUCCUACGAUCUGAUCAAGGGGAGAGUAUCUGA